CCUACGGGAGGCAGCAGUGAGGAAUAUUGGUCAAUGGGAGAGAUCCUGAACCAGCCAAGCCGCGUGAGGGAAGACGGCCCUAUGGGUUGUAAACCUCUUUUGUCGGAGAACAAAACCCGGGACGUGUCCCGGACUGCGUGUAUCCGAAGAAAAAGCAUCGGCUAACUCCGUGCCAGCAGCCGCGGUAAUACGGAGGAUGCGAGCGUUAUCCGGAGUUAUUGGGUUUAAAGGGUGCGUAGGCGGUCCGUUAAGUCAGCGGUAAAAUUGCGGGGCUCAACCCCGUCGAGCCGUUGAAACUGGCAGACUGGAGUGGGCGAGAAGUACGUGGAAUGCGCGGUGUAGCGGUGAAAUGCAUAGAUAUCGCGCAGAACUCCGAUUGCGAAGGCAGCGUACCGGCGCCAGACUGACGCUGAGGCACGAAAGCGUGGGGAUCGAACAGGAUUAGAUACCCUUGUAGUC
RNAcentral lists this ribosomal RNA (459 nucleotides) under uncultured bacterium. RNAcentral describes it as "partial 16S ribosomal RNA". It matches the Rfam family "Bacterial small subunit ribosomal RNA", at positions 338 to 795 of the family's 1533-position model. The record is from RNAcentral.